RNAcentral lists this transfer RNA (73 nucleotides) under Zootermopsis nevadensis. It matches the Rfam family "tRNA". From Rfam's summary of the family: Transfer RNA (tRNA) molecules are approximately 80 nucleotides in length. Their secondary structure includes four short double-helical elements and three loops (D, anti-codon, and T loops). Further hydrogen bonds mediate the characteristic L-shaped molecular structure. tRNAs have two regions of fundamental functional importance: the anti-codon, which is responsible for specific mRNA codon recognition, and the 3' end, to which the tRNAs corresponding amino acid is attached (by aminoacyl-tRNA synthetases). tRNAs cope with the degeneracy of the genetic code in two manners: having more than one tRNA (with a specific anti-codon) for a particular amino acid; and 'wobble' base-pairing, i.e. permitting non-standard base-pairing at the 3rd anti-codon position. The record is from Rfam by way of RNAcentral. Lineage: Eukaryota; Metazoa; Arthropoda; Insecta; Blattodea; Termopsidae.
GAUGAGGUGGUCUAGCGGUUAGAACGCUGGCCUUGUAAUCCUGGGGUCUCGGGUUCGAUUCCCGGCGGUGUCC